UUUCGACUUUUGUGGAGAGCGAAAGAAUAGAAAUUAAGUAGCAGAUUUCCAUCAUCGUCUAUACUUGAAAGGUCGGGGUUUUGAAAUCGGAUCAAGGAAAUGGCAGGUGAACAGACCAUGUUCAAGUUCCUCAAGCCUAGGCGCCGUCCACACCCUGCGGACAUCCAGGCUGCUGCCAUGUGGGGUGUCGCUGCCACCACCACCGCUCUUUGGCUCAUCCAGCCAUUUGAUUGGUUGAAGGGGACCUUUUUCGAGAAA
Long non-coding RNA from Hibiscus syriacus, 258 nucleotides. RefSeq lists it as uncharacterized. The transcript is spliced from 2 exons. The record is from RefSeq and is a predicted model, not a curated record. Lineage: Eukaryota; Viridiplantae; Streptophyta; Magnoliopsida; Malvales; Malvaceae.